RNAcentral lists this ribosomal RNA (330 nucleotides) under uncultured bacterium. RNAcentral describes it as "bacterial SSU rRNA". It matches the Rfam family "Bacterial small subunit ribosomal RNA", at positions 568 to 898 of the family's 1533-position model. The record is from RNAcentral.
CAUGUAGGCGGGUCUUUAAGUCAGGGGUGAAAUGCCAAGGCUCAACCUUGGAACCGCCUUUGAUACUGGAGAUCUUGAGUCCGGGAGAGGUGAGUGGAACUGCGAGUGUAGAGGUGAAAUUCGUAGAUAUUCGCAAGAACACCAGUGGCGAAGGCGGCUCACUGGCCCGGAACUGACGCUGAGAUGCGAAAGCGUGGGGAGCAAACAGGAUUAGAUACCCUGGUAGUCCACGCCAUAAACGAUGGAUGCUAGCCGUUGGGGAGCUUGCUCUUCAGUGGCGCAGCUAACGCUUUAAGCAUCCCGCCUGGGGAGUACGGUCGCAAGAUUAAA